This 1044-nucleotide ribosomal RNA is filed under the name Triticum aestivum (bread wheat). Its description in RNAcentral is "partial small subunit ribosomal RNA". Lineage: Eukaryota; Viridiplantae; Streptophyta; Magnoliopsida; Poales; Poaceae. The record is from RNAcentral.
AUGGGCGGCAAGAGGAAGAGCACCGCGGACGUGAAGACGCCGCCGACAGUGGGCCGGCGGCCGGGCCGCCCGAGGAAGAACACGCCGCCGGAGGCGAUCCGGCGCCCGGGCCGCCCGAGGAAGAGCGAGCCGGGCGUCGAGGUGCCGCUGGCACGCAGCCCGGUCCCGGCCCAGACGCUGCCGUCGCCCAGAUCCGAGCGCGAGGAGGAGGCGAACGGCGGGCUGCUGGAGCUCGCGCGCGGCGCGGCGGCCAUAGCCGCGGCGGAGGAGGAGGAGGAGCAGGUCAGGAUGCGCUGCGACCUCUGCCAUGGCCCCCUCAGGCCCCCCAUCUACCAGUGCACCAGCGUGCAGCACGUCGCGUGCCGCGACUGCGGCGCCGACGAGUGCCGCCCGUGCGGCGGGGACCCGGCCGCCGUCUUCGUCCACAACGCCCAGCUGGACGCCCUCUUCGGCUACAUCAGGGUGCCGUGCCCGUUCCGCAAGUUCGGGUGCGCCAGCUCCGUCGCCUACCGCGACCUGGCGGCGCACGAGACUGCGUGCACGUGGGCGCCCUGCGCUUGCGCGGAGUGCGGGUACAAGGGGCCCCCGUCGGGCCUCCUGCGUCAUCUCACGGAGUUGUCCGGCCGGCACGCCUGGACCGCCCACAGGAUCACCUACGGGAUGGACCACCGGUUCGCCGUCCCUGUGCCGGAGUCGUCGGAGCAGCAGUGCGAGGACCACGGCCUCCUGAUCGCGGAGGACGGCGCCGUGUUCCUCGUGGCCGUGGGGGGCGCCGGCGGCGUCCGCCGCGUCACUGUGGUGUGCGUUAGGGGUAACGUUGGCACCGGGCCUGUGUACAGCUCCUCCGUCGAGGUGGCUGGCCCAGACGAGGCGCGCCGGCUGAAGCUUGAGAAGAAGGUGGCGGCGAGCUGCUCGGCCCCCGUCGAGUUCGAUGUGUUGGCGCAGCCGGAGUGCGACACGGUCCCCGUGUAUCCGGAGAUGCUGCACGGGGAGGAGCUCCAUCUGUGCAUCCGUAUCGGCAAGACGAAGAUCAUCUGUUCCUGA